CAAUAAUUGGUCAGGAGAAGAGAGUCCUUUCAGUCCCCAGCAACUUUAACUUCCUUAGCUCUCACAACUACCUUAAAGCAAUCGCACUCCUGUUUUGGCUUCAUUAAGCAGCAUUAUCCCUUGUCGACUUGUGCUUCAGCAUAGGAACCAUUGUGUUGGACAUUAUUACUUCCAUGAAUUCUGUGUCAGCAUCUGCAGGUUCAGAAACGUGUUCUAACAGGGCAGUAGCCCUUACUACCAUAACAUGGUCAUGUGCCGCCCUGUAAGUGAAGAGUACUUCUUCUCAGAAGGUGGGAAGGUCAUUUCCCUUCUACCAUCCUGCUGCAGUUCUGCUGAAAAGGAAUUCUCUGUAUUUAGUUAUGGAACCUCCUCAAGUAUCUCUGGGAAAAUUGUGGAGCAGAUAAAAUCUCUCAACAGCUGUAUUUCUGCAUCAGCAUUAACAAGUGGUACAGAGAAGUCAUUGUCCGUAUUCAGUGUUAAAAGCAAAGCUGUUUCCUGGCUCAGGCACAGCCCUUGUAUGGCUGAUUUGUAAAUGCUCAGGCGAAGUUCCAGAGCAAGAGAACAUCAGUGAGCUCU
Cyanistes caeruleus (blue tit) is the source of this 576-nucleotide long non-coding RNA. RefSeq lists it as uncharacterized. The record is from RefSeq and is a predicted model, not a curated record. NCBI's taxonomy places the organism in Eukaryota, Metazoa, Chordata, Aves, Passeriformes, Paridae.